UGUACGGUUACCUGCGGGAAGUGCUCAGAACUGUGAAGCCUUCCAACACAUAAAAAGAUAAUCCCGUGACCCAAGUGGACUCACAGUCUCACAAUUUGCACUGUUUUGCAGAGAGCAACCCUCCCAGUCAAGUCUUUCCUCCCAGAAGAUGCAUCAAAAGAGAGGCCGGGCAAGCAAACAGUGUGCGGCCCUCAGUGGAAAAAGUUUGGACACCCCUGAUUUAGAACAUUACGUUACAAGCAGGGGGAAGCUGUAUGCUGAAUGAUCUGAGGUCAGUGGUAAAGGCGUCUUUGGCAGGCACUUCCUCAUCAGCUGAACAGAGGGCUCCACCAAUGACGUCAGACAUUUAUUCAACAUACACGUCUGCAAAAAUGACCAAAAAUGGCAGACCAACAUUAGAUUUCAGUUCAAAAUAUGUGGCAGUUGACUAGUUUGCUUUUCUAUUCCAGCCCAUUCCCAAAAUGCAGAUUGCCCGCCGCGUGGAAGGCAGAGCGAUCUGUUGGGGGCCCCAUUUUGUAUAUAAAAAAUGUCAAUGAAUGA
Molecule: long non-coding RNA, 540 nt
Organism: Entelurus aequoreus (snake pipefish)
Lineage: Eukaryota; Metazoa; Chordata; Actinopteri; Syngnathiformes; Syngnathidae
Exons: 5
Source: RefSeq, a predicted model, not a curated record